RNAcentral lists this ribosomal RNA (460 nucleotides) under uncultured bacterium. Its description in RNAcentral is "bacterial SSU rRNA". It matches the Rfam family "Bacterial small subunit ribosomal RNA", at positions 29 to 532 of the family's 1533-position model. The record is from RNAcentral.
AACGAACGCUGGCGGCAUGCCUAACACAUGCAAGUCGAACGAAGGCUUCGGCCUUAGUGGCGCACGGGUGCGUAACGCGUGGGAAUCUGCCCUUGGGUUCGGAAUAACUCAGAGAAAUUUGAGCUAAUACCGAAUGAUGUCGAAAGACCAAAGAUUUAUCGCCCAAGGAUGAGCCCGCGUAGGAUUAGCUUGUUGGUGAGGUAAAAGCUCACCAAGGCGACGAUCCUUAGCUGGUCUGAGAGGAUGAUCAGCCACACUGGGACUGAGACACGGCCCAGACUCCUACGGGAGGCAGCAGUGGGGAAUAUUGGACAAUGGGCGAAAGCCUGAUCCAGCAAUGCCGCGUGAGUGAUGAAGGCCUUAGGGUUGUAAAGCUCUUUUACCAGGGAUGAUAAUGACAGUACCUGGAGAAUAAGCUCCAGCUAAACUCCGUGCCAGCAGCCGCGGUAAAGUACAGUGU